AUGUAUAGCAAUAGCUGAUUGCACCAACAAAUAGUUGAUGCAAUAUUGACUCUGUCAAAUAAAAUUCUAGGUAGAAUUAUGAUAAUGACAUUGUCUGCCUAUAUGUCUUGACCAAAUUACGUGCCAGCAGUCGCGGUAAUACGUAGAAGACUAGUGUUAUUCAUCUUUAAUAGGUUUAAAGGGUACCUAGACGGUAAAUCAAGCCUUCACAGGGACUAAUUUACUAGAGUUACUUACGAGGGGGUAUUAAAGUACUGCAGGUGUAGAGAUGAAAUUCUGUCAUACCUCUUUUCAAAAGAAAAAUUAUGGCACAGGUAUAGGUGAAAGCAUCCCCUUAUGUGAUAACUGACGUUGAAGGACGAAGGCUUUGUGUCGCGAACAGGAUUAGAUACCCCNGUAGUCAAAGCAGAAAAUGAUGAAUGUCAUAGAUUAGAUAAAUAGUUUAUUCUAUAAAUGAAAAUGUAAGCAUUCCACCUCAAGAGUAAUUUGGCAACAUUGGAACUGAAAUCAUUAGACCGUUUCUGAAACCAGUAGUGAAGUAUGUUGUUUAAUUUGAUGAUCCGCAAAAAACCUUACCACAAUUUGAAUAUUUAUAUCUAUCUUUUUUUUUCGUAAAAAAAUAAAAAGGUAAUAUAUUUACAAGCGUUGCACGGCUGUCUUCAGUUAAUGUCGCGAGACUUUGGUUAGUUCCAUUAAAUUAACGUAAACCCUUACUUUAUUUUUAUAUGAAGUAGUUCCCCGCUAUAUUGGAUAUGAUAACAGGGACUAAGACAAGUCAUCAUGGCCUGAAUGUUGUGGGCUAUAGACGUGCCACAUAAACCUUACAAAAGGGUGUGAAAUUGCGAAA
Molecule: ribosomal RNA, 847 nt
Filed under: Lepraria caesioalba
Lineage: Eukaryota; Fungi; Ascomycota; Lecanoromycetes; Lecanorales; Stereocaulaceae
Description: mitochondrial SSU rRNA
Rfam family: Bacterial small subunit ribosomal RNA
Source: RNAcentral